Molecule: ribosomal RNA, 254 nt
Filed under: uncultured bacterium
Lineage: Bacteria
Description: partial 16S ribosomal RNA
Rfam family: Bacterial small subunit ribosomal RNA
Source: RNAcentral
UACAGGGGGUGCAAACGUUGCUCGGAAUCAUUGGGCGUAAAGCGCACGUAGGCGGUUCGUUAUGUCGGAUGUGAAAGCCCUUGGCUUAACCGAGGAAGUGCACCCGAAACUGGCGAGCUUGAGUACGAAAGAGGAUCGCGGAAUUCCCGGUGUAGAGGUGAAAUUCGUAGAUAGUCGGGAGGAACACCGGUGGCGAAGGCGGCGAUCUGGGUCGAUACUGACGCUGAGGUGCGAAAGCGUGGGGAGCAAACAGG